RNAcentral lists this ribosomal RNA (404 nucleotides) under uncultured prokaryote. RNAcentral's name for it is "bacterial SSU rRNA". It matches the Rfam family "Bacterial small subunit ribosomal RNA", at positions 355 to 776 of the family's 1533-position model. RNAcentral also lists the same sequence under 1 other name. The record is from RNAcentral.
UGGGGAAUAUUGGGCAAUGGGGGAAACCCUGACCCAGCAACGCCGCGUGAAGGAAGAAGGCUUUCGGGUUGUAAACUUCUUUUGUCAGGGACGAUAAUGACGGUACCUGACGAAUAAGCCACGGCUAACUACGUGCCAGCAGCCGCGGUAAUACGUAGGUGGCGAGCGUUAUCCGGAUUUACUGGGUGUAAAGGGCGCGUAGGCGGGACGACAAGUCAGAUGUGAAAACUAUGGGCUUAACCCAUAGCCUGCAUUUGAAACUGCCGUUCUUGAGUGAUGGAGAGGUAAGUGGAAUUCCUAGUGUAGCGGUGGAAUGCGUAGAUAUUAGGAGGAACACCAGUGGCGAAGGCGACUUACUGGACAUUAACUGACGCUGAGGCGCGAAAGCGUGGGGAGCAAACAGG